RNAcentral lists this unclassified non-coding RNA (2985 nucleotides) under Leishmania donovani. Its description in RNAcentral is "gene:LdHU3.24.1100(CDS-product:DNA_replication_li censing_factor_MCM5_putative)". Lineage: Eukaryota; Euglenozoa; Kinetoplastea; Trypanosomatida; Trypanosomatidae. The record is from RNAcentral.
AGCGGCCUGCGAACACUCAAAGGAGAGGUGUGGAGGGAUCGGUCGCCGAGUACGCUCGAAGGCCUCAUUGACGGAGGCGCUGCAGACGACGUGUCAGCGACAUCAUACAAGUACAUACAUCGAAAUAGCACGGCAAGAGAGUCACACGCACAUACAUCUGACGCCCUUGCCACCUCCCUACACUCCCACCCUGCCCACGCCCCCCCCUCCUGAAAGGGCGUCGAUGAAACUGUCAGGAUGCAGUCAGACCUUGGCACCGUGCACGUCACGAACUUCCACGGCAGCGGCGCGCUGUCUGGUGACGGUUACAAUGCCAGCGGCAGCGUGGAUGGCGACAGCGAGGCGGGCACGGACAUCCGCCUCCUCGCCAAGGAGUUCGUGACUCAGUUUCGCAUCCAUCACGAGUUCCUAUACAUGGACAUGCUGCGGAGCAACUUGUCGGCUGGGCUGCACUACGUGGAGUUCCAGAUGCUGCACCUCCAACAGUUCAGCGGCGUCCUCUUUGGAGCGGUGCAGCAUAACCCCACCCGCGCACUGCCGCUGAUGGAACACGCGGUGUGGGAGCUAGCGCAGGAGCGCAAGCUGUUCCCUGCCUACAGUCGCGAGACGACGAUUCAGGUGCAGCUCUUCUGGGGCGUGCCGCCGAUGGCGCUGCGCAACCUCGCCCAGGCCGCCGUGGCGCAGCUGGUCAGUGUGAGCGGCAUUGUCGUCAAGUCCAGCUCCACACAUGCUCGCUGUGUCCGGGCAGCUAUCCAAUGCACGAGCUGUCGAAGCAAAGCCUACAUCAACGGCGGGCGGUCGAUCGAUCUGCCGCCGCAGUGCAUGGAAAACAGCGGCCGCGGUGGGGCCGGUGGUGGCGGAGGUACGUCCUCCAGCAAGUGCCGGCCGAACCCCUACGUGCUUCUGCCAAUGGAGUGCGAGUACGAGGACCAGCAGAUCAUCAAGCUGCAGGAGCUGCCCGAGGACGUGCCGACCGGUGAACUGCCGCGACACCUAACGGUGGUUGUGGAUCGCUACUUAGUUGAUCGCAUCAGCCCUGGCUCCCGCGUCCAGAUCGUUGGUGUCGUCUCGGUGCAGGAGAAGCGCGGUGGCUUCGACAGCGCGCGCGGCGGAGGCCGUGGUCGCGCGGCGGCCGGCUUGCGUGCGCAGUACCUGCGCUGUGUCGGCCUCAUGUUCCGCACUACGCAGGAUGCCAGCUGCGCGGUGGUGAGCGUGAACCAGAACUUCUCCUCUCGUGUGCGAUCUCGCUCAACCAUGACGUGGCAGCCCGAGGAAGAGGCGUCCUUCAAGGCCUUUGCUAAGCAGGAGGACGUGUUCCAGAAGCUCUCUGCCAGCAUCGACCCCGCCAUCUUUGGCCUGGAGGAUCAGAAGAAGGCGAUUGUGUGCCUCCUGUUCGGCGGCACGCGCAAGCGCAUCGGCAGCAACUUCCUGCGCGGUGACAUGAACGUCCUCUUCAUUGGUGACCCGUCGACGGCCAAGUCGCAGCUGCUGAAGUUCGUGGAGAAGGUGGCCCCGAUCGGCAUCUACACCUCUGGCAAAGGCAGCAGUGCCGCCGGUCUCACCGCGUCGGUCAUCUCGAACGGCAACGGCGACUUUGUGCUCGAGGCGGGGUCGAUGGUGCUGGCAGACGGCGGCGUCGUGUGCAUUGACGAGUUUGACAAGAUGCGAGAGCAGGAUCAGGUGGCCAUUCACGAGGCGAUGGAGCAGCAGACCAUCUCCAUUGCCAAGGCGAAUAUGACGACCAUGCUAAAUAGUCGCACGUCGGUGCUGGCGGCUGCGAACCCGACGCUCGGUAGCUACGACCCUCUGCGCUCCAACGAGGACCAGAUGGACUUCCAGAGCUCCAUCCUGUCCCGCUUCGACCUCAUCUUUAAGGUGAUUGAUCCCCGAAACCCGGAGACGGAUCAGCGGCUGGCUCACCACGUCAUCUCGCUCCACAAGAGCGCCAACGGCAGCGGCGGGCGACGCGGCGGUGGUCGUGCGGGUGCGUCCGUCUCCGCUGGUAGUGGCGCGGCGGCUUCUGCAGCGCAGAAUAGCCAUGACGAAGUGGUGGAGCGCUGCUUCUUUACGAAAUACAUCUCCUACGCCCGUGCCACCUGCCGCCCGGUCAUCUCAGAGGAGGCAAUGAAGGUGUUACUCGACUUCUACGUUCAGGUGCGCCGAGACGCACAUCAGCAAACCCUCGCGACAAUUGGCGGCAUGAGCAGCGGCAACGGCAGCGCGGCGGGCGGUGGUAGCUCGAGCAGCAACAAGACGCCUAUCAUCCAGAUCACGGCCCGGCAACUGGAGAGCCUCGUGCGCAUUACAGAGUCGCUGGCCCGGAUGCGGCUUGACGUGCUCGCCAGCCGCAGCGAUGCUGAAGAGGCCAUCAAGCUCUUUAAAAUCGCCACCGUCGACGCCAUCAAGAGCGGAGUGGCGGACCAAAUCCUGACGGAGGCCCAGAGUGAGCUUGUCCUGCGCGUGGAGGAGGCGCUGCGCCGCCGCGUCGCACUCGGGGCCACGGUCGAGCAUCAUCGCCUCUUGUCGGAGCUCGCACGCAUGGGUUUUGACGCCAAACUCGUCGAGCGUGCCUUGUACGCGAUGGUGAAGCGGGAGGAGCUGGAGUGGCGCAAGCAGCGCACCCUGCUGCACCGUGUGAGAUGACGCUGAUUCGAAAGGUCUUGCAGCAGCAUGCAUGGACGGUGGCACCCGCGUGUGUCUCUGUGCACCGCUUUUUUUUAUUUGGUGUUUUGCUCCUUCACCUCGCCUCCUCCCCCUUUCAUAGACUCCCGAGGCGCCGGUCCUCGCCCAACACCCAACGCAGAAAAAGCUUAAAUCGUCUUCUCCCCUCGGACGGUCAUCGUCGCCAUGGCCUGCGUUCUCCACCGCCGACCUUGCCUCUCGUUCAUUCCCUCCCCCUCGUCUCCGCAAUGCUUAUCAGCACCGCCGCCAAUGACCUGCCUUCCUUUUCGUCGUUGCACGCUCCUUCUUCCACCCCACCCCAAG